Molecule: transfer RNA, 82 nt
Filed under: Canis lupus familiaris (dog)
Lineage: Eukaryota; Metazoa; Chordata; Mammalia; Carnivora; Canidae
Also listed under: 1 other name
Rfam family: tRNA
About the family: Transfer RNA (tRNA) molecules are approximately 80 nucleotides in length. Their secondary structure includes four short double-helical elements and three loops (D, anti-codon, and T loops).
Source: Rfam by way of RNAcentral
GCCUAGGUGGCUCAGAGAUUGAGCAUCUGCCUUUGGCUCAGGGCAUGAUCCUGGGAUGUGGGAUCGAGUCCCACAUUGGGUU